GGAAGAGAAAGAGACUACAUCUACUUUCACACUAAAAUUGGGAUUUUUCUACUGAGGGGAUCGAACUUGGGUUCUUGCACUUGCAGCAGGUGGUGAAACCACUGAGCCAAAUCCCCGGCCCUUGAGAGUCUCCAAGUCGAGGACAUUGGGUGUCUGGCACAUAGUUGAGUGACUAAUACAUGUGGCAGAAUUAUGGAGUGAAAAGUGCUGCAUGGAGGAGUUUGAAGAGCUGGGUUCCAGUGCUGCAGACUUUGGUAGAACACAGUGAGACCCUGGCCAGCUACCUCCAUAUCUCUCCAGUGAGAUGGUUGCACCAAAUGAUCUCUAGAAGUCCUUUUCGGAGUCAAAGUUUGUAGGUAUUUGAUCAAAGAGGUGUCAUAAUUCAAAC
Molecule: long non-coding RNA, 388 nt
Filed under: Heterocephalus glaber (naked mole-rat)
Lineage: Eukaryota; Metazoa; Chordata; Mammalia; Rodentia; Bathyergidae
Description: lncRNA (ENSHGLG00000042518.1)
Source: RNAcentral